CCUACGGGGUGCUGCAGUGGGGAAUAUUGGACAAUGGGCGAAAGCCUGAUCCAGCCAUGCCGCGUGUGUGAAGAAGGCCUUCGGGUUGUAAAGCACUUUCAGUGGGGAAGAAAGCCUUGGGGCUAAUACCCUCGAGGAAGGACAUCACCCACAGAAGAAGCACCGGCUAACUCCGUGCCAGCAGCCGCGGUAAUACGGAGGGUGCGGGCGUUAAUCGGAAUUACUGGGCGUAAAGCGCGCGUAGGCGGUCUGAUAAGCCGGUUGUGAAAGCCCCGGGCUCAACCUGGGAACGGCAUCCGGAACUGUCAGGCUAGAGUGCAGGAGAGGAAGGUAGAAUUCCCGGUGUAGCGGUGAAAUGCGUAGAGAUCGGGAGGAAUACCAGUGGCGAAGGCGGCCUUCUGGACUGACACUGACGCUGAGGUGCGAAAGCGUGGGUAGCAAACAGGAUUAGAUACCCGGGUAGUC
This 465-nucleotide ribosomal RNA is filed under the name Vreelandella stevensii. RNAcentral describes it as "partial 16S ribosomal RNA". It matches the Rfam family "Bacterial small subunit ribosomal RNA", at positions 338 to 795 of the family's 1533-position model. The record is from RNAcentral. Lineage: Bacteria; Pseudomonadati; Pseudomonadota; Gammaproteobacteria; Oceanospirillales; Halomonadaceae.